RNAcentral lists this ribosomal RNA (553 nucleotides) under Tricholoma alpinum. RNAcentral describes it as "partial small subunit ribosomal RNA". It matches the Rfam family "Bacterial small subunit ribosomal RNA", at positions 431 to 908 of the family's 1533-position model. The record is from RNAcentral. Lineage: Eukaryota; Fungi; Basidiomycota; Agaricomycetes; Agaricales; Tricholomataceae.
UCAUGAAUUUGGUGAUUAUGAUAACAUAAGGGAAAAAAAUGAUGUUACCUUAUUAUUAGUGUUGUCCAAAACUGGUGCCAGAAGACUCGGUAAGACCAGAGACGCAAACGUUAGUCAUCUUAAUCAGGCGUAAAGGGUGUGUAGGCUGCUUUAAAAGUUUAUUUUUUUUAAUAGCUCUGUAACCGUAAUACUCUCUAAUUUGGGUAGUAUAUAAAUUUUAUAAUGAAAUAAAUGAUAUUUAAAAUAUAUCCGUGUAUCAGAAAAAAAAAUAAAUGAAUAAAAGCUAGAAUCAAAUUGAGGAUAAUACAAAGAAUACUUAGAGUAGGGGUUAAAUCCGCAAAUACUAAGGGGAAUACUAAUGGUGAAGACAUUUUUCUACUAUUGAUUGACGCUGAGAAACGAAGGUGAGAAUAGGAAAUAGGAUUUGAUACCCAGAUACCUCCCACUGUCAACGAUGAAUGGUGGUUGUUAGUUUUAGUAGAAACUGGCAACGAUGUUAACACGAUAACCAUUCCGCCUUGCGAGUACGGUUGCAAAACUGAAACCAAAAAAA